This 604-nucleotide ribosomal RNA is filed under the name Pestalotiopsis papuana. RNAcentral describes it as "eukaryotic LSU rRNA". The stretch from base 234 to 387 matches the Rfam family "5.8S ribosomal RNA". Lineage: Eukaryota; Fungi; Ascomycota; Sordariomycetes; Amphisphaeriales; Sporocadaceae. The record is from RNAcentral.
ACAAGGUCUCCGUUGGUGAACCAGCGGAGGGAUCAUUAUAGAGUUUUCUAAACUCCCAACCCAUGUGAACUUACCAUUGUUGCCUCGGCAGAAGCUGCUCGGUGCACCUUACCUUGGAACGGCCUACCCUGUAGCGCCUUACCCUGGAACGGCUUACCCUGCAACGGCUGCCGGUGGACUACCAAACUCUUGUUAUUUUAUGGUUAUCUGAGCGUCUUAUUUUAAUAAGUCAAAACUUUCAACAACGGAUCUCUUGGUUCUGGCAUCGAUGAAGAACGCAGCGAAAUGCGAUAAGUAAUGUGAAUUGCAGAAUUCAGUGAAUCAUCGAAUCUUUGAACGCACAUUGCGCCCAUUAGUAUUCUAGUGGGCAUGCCUGUUCGAGCGUCAUUUCAACCCUUAAGCCUAGCUUAGUGUUGGGAGCCUACUGCUUUUGCUAGCUGUAGCUCCUGAAAUACAACGGCGGAUCUGCGAUAUCCUCUGAGCGUAGUAAUUUUUAUCUCGCUUUUGACUGGAGUUGCAGCGUCUUUAGCCGCUAAACCCCCCAAUUUUUAAUGGUUGACCUCGGAUCAGGUAGGAAUACCCGCUGAACUUAAGCAUAUCAAUA